CGAGACGACGCUGGCGCGUGCCUAUACAUGCAAGUCGAGCGGACCUAAUUAAGAAGCUUGCUUUUUGAUUGGUUAGCGGCGGACGGGUGAGUAACACGUGGGUAACCUGCCCUAUAGACUGGGAUAACUCGCGGAAACGCGAGCUAAUACCGGAUAACACAUCGAAGCGCAUGCUUCGGUGUUGAAAGAUGGUUCUGCUAUCACUAUAGGAUGGGCCCGCGGCGCAUUAGCUAGUUGGUGGGGUAACGGCCUACCAAGGCGACGAUGCGUAGCCGACCUGAGAGGGUGAUCGGCCACACUGGGACUGAGACACGGCCCAGACUCCUACGGGAGGCAGCAGUAGGGAAUCUUCCACAAUGGGCGAAAGCCUGAUGGAGCAACGCCGCGUGAGCGAAGAAGGUCUUCGGAUCGUAAAGCUCUGUUGUAAGGGAAGAACAAGCGCAGCAGUAACUGGCUGCGCCCUGACGGUACCUUACUAGAAAGCCACGGCUAACUACGUG
This 500-nucleotide ribosomal RNA is filed under the name uncultured Ureibacillus sp. RNAcentral's name for it is "bacterial SSU rRNA". It matches the Rfam family "Bacterial small subunit ribosomal RNA", at positions 33 to 507 of the family's 1533-position model. The record is from RNAcentral. Lineage: Bacteria; Bacillati; Bacillota; Bacilli; Caryophanales; Caryophanaceae.